Molecule: ribosomal RNA, 727 nt
Filed under: Streptomyces sp.
Lineage: Bacteria; Bacillati; Actinomycetota; Actinomycetes; Kitasatosporales; Streptomycetaceae
Description: bacterial SSU rRNA
Rfam family: Bacterial small subunit ribosomal RNA
Source: RNAcentral
UCUGGGACAAGCCCUGGAAACGGGGUCUAAUACCGGAUAACACUCUGUCCCGCAUGGGACGGGGUUGAAAGCUCCGGCGGUGAAGGAUGAGCCCGCGGCCUAUCAGCUUGUUGGUGGGGUGAUGGCCUACCAAGGCGACGACGGGUAGCCGGCCUGAGAGGGCGACCGGCCACACUGGGACUGAGACACGGCCCAGACUCCUACGGGAGGCAGCAGUGGGGAAUAUUGCACAAUGGGCGAAAGCCUGAUGCAGCGACGCCGCGUGAGGGAUGACGGCCUUCGGGUUGUAAACCUCUUUCAGCAGGGAAGAAGCGAGAGUGACGGUACCUGCAGAAGAAGCGCCGGCUAACUACGUGCCAGCAGCCGCGGUAAUACGUAGGGCGCAAGCGUUGUCCGGAAUUAUUGGGCGUAAAGAGCUCGUAGGCGGCUUGUUGCGUCGGUUGUGAAAGCCCGGGGCUUAACCCCGGGUCUGCAGUCGAUACGGGCAGGCUAGAGUGUGGUAGGGGAGAUCGGAAUUCCUGGUGUAGCGGUGAAAUGCGCAGAUAUCAGGAGGAACACCGGUGGCGAAGGCGGAUCUCUGGGCCAUUACUGACGCUGAGGAGCGAAAGCGUGGGGAGCGAACAGGAUUAGAUACCCUGGUAGUCCACGCCGUAAACGUUGGGAACUAGGUGUUGGCGACAUUCCACGUCGUCGGUGCCGCAGCUAACGCAUUAAGUUCCCCGCCUGG